This 210-nucleotide ribosomal RNA is filed under the name uncultured Chlamydiales CRG60. RNAcentral describes it as "partial 16S ribosomal RNA". It matches the Rfam family "Bacterial small subunit ribosomal RNA", at positions 66 to 273 of the family's 1533-position model. Lineage: Bacteria; Pseudomonadati; Chlamydiota; Chlamydiia; Chlamydiales. The record is from RNAcentral.
ACGGAGUCGCAAGAUUCAGUGGCGGAAGGGUUAGUAAUACAUGGGUAACCUGCCUCUAACACUGGGAUAACGGUUGGAAACGAUCGCUAAUACCGGAUAGGGUGAGCUAAAGGCAUCUUUGGCUUAUUAAAGUGGGGGACCGCAAGGCCUCGCAGUUAGAGAAGGGCCCAUGGGAUAUCAGCUAGUUGGUGCGGUAAAGGCGCACCAAGG